AUUAGUUAUGUCCUUUAAACCCAAAGAAUUUGGCGGUGUUUUAUUCUAAUUAGAGGAACUUGCUCCGUUAUCGAUAGUCCUCGUUAUAUCUUACUUGAUUUAUUUAGUAUGUAUACCGCCGUUAUAAGUUUAUUUUUUUAGAAUUUAUUUACUGGUAAUUUUAUUUUAUUUUAUUUCAGGUCAAGGUGCAGCUUAUAAUUAAGUGGAGGUGAGUUACAAUAUUGUUUGAAUAAAUGGAUUUUUUUUUGAAAUUUUUUAAUGAAGGUGGAUUUGAUGGUAAUUUUAUUUAUAGAUUUAUUUUGAAGUUAGCUCUAAAACAAGUACACAUCGCCCGAUC
This 337-nucleotide ribosomal RNA is filed under the name Brasidas sp. 7 SB-2020. RNAcentral's name for it is "partial 12S ribosomal RNA". Lineage: Eukaryota; Metazoa; Arthropoda; Insecta; Phasmatodea; Heteropterygidae. The record is from RNAcentral.